UGGGUAGCAACUGGCCAAGGGGGAUUAGA
This 29-nucleotide non-coding RNA is filed under the name Homo sapiens (human). Lineage: Eukaryota; Metazoa; Chordata; Mammalia; Primates; Hominidae. The record is from RNAcentral.